Molecule: long non-coding RNA, 1130 nt
Filed under: Homo sapiens (human)
Lineage: Eukaryota; Metazoa; Chordata; Mammalia; Primates; Hominidae
Description: HSALNT0297787
Source: RNAcentral
AUCACCACCAUGUUGGAGUUUGAGAAGGAGUGCUGCCCUAAACGGAGUAUACACAGUAUGUGUCCGGGCCUUAAAAGGUGAAGAAUAUUUAGACAGAUGAAGAGCAUUCCAGGUGGAAAGAACCAUAUAAGCAGACACUGGAAAGCAGGGUUUCUUCAAACACCUUUGAUAUACUGCAAGGGCUCUUUCUGAAGGAUGAGGAGGGAGAAGGUGGCCCAGGAGUCCACUGCGAGAUCCGAGGCAAGAGCAGAGCGGGGAUCAGGAGGCUUGAAGCAACCUGAAGGCAGCAGGAAAGAGCUGAUGUCUACUGGAUGCCUGAAGCAACACCUUAAUCUCAAUCUCCCCUGCUGGGAGCAGGUGAGGGAGGCAGCAAGGAAAUCAUGUCCCUUUGGAUCUGCUGCCUAAGGUUCUGGGGGAAGUGAUGGGCACUGAGGUCUCCUGACAGCUGGCAGGCUCCUGGCUGGCCCCACCUUGCCCUGAGCUGGGCAGUGGACCGAGCUUGUUGAAUGGAUUGAAGCAGCAGGAACAAUAAUAACAACAGCUGCAUGUAUCCAGUAUUUACCGCAUGCCAGGCACGUCACAUAGAUUACCUCAUUUAAUCCUUACACCAACCUUUCCAGGGAGGUAUUCUUAGUCCCAUUUUACCUAUUAGAAAACUGAGUGUCAGCUUAAGUAACGCAGGUAAGGUCAUAUCCUUUGUAGGGUAACAGAAACAAAAUUGGUGUCUAAGUUUGUUUAAUUCCCACACAGAUGCAGCGGGGUCCAGACAGACAGAGGCAAGGACUGCAGAGGGAAGGCCCCUUCUCCUGGAGCUGCCCCAAAAGCGGCCACCGGGGCCAUUCUUCUUCCUAGAAAGAACAUCUUUCUGCUUCCUAGUCAAGCUGCUGGACACUGCAGGUCAGGUUCACCCGCCUGACCACUGCAAAUCUCUUAGCUCAUUUUACUCCCCUCUGUUUUCUAACAGUGAUUCAGCUGGGUGAAUCAGGAGCCAGACAGCAAGAGAGGUGAUACCAGAAGGUGAAGAGGGACAUAGAUUGGGAAGGGUGAAAGAUUCCCUAAGGGAUUUUUUUUUAAACGACAGUCUUGUUCUGUCACCCAGGCAGGAGUACAGUGGUGCAAUCACAGCUCAC